CCUACGGGCGGCAGCAGUUGGGAAUCUUUCACAAUGGGCGAAAGCCUGAUGGAGCAACUCCGCGUGCAGGAUGAAGGCCUUCGGGUUGUAAACUGCUUUUAUAAGCGAGAAAUAUGAUGGUAACUUAUGAAUAAGGAUCGGCUAACUACGUGCCAGCAGCCGCGGUCAUACGUAGGAUCCGAGCAUUAUCCGGAGUGACUGGGUGUAAAGAGUUGCGUAGGUGGCAUAAUAAGUAGCUAGUGAAAUCUGGUGGCUCAACCAUUCAGACUAUUAGCUAAACUGUUAAGCUCGAGACCGUUAGGGGUAACUGGAAUUUCUAGUGUAGGAGUGAAAUCCGUAGAUAUUAGAAGGAACACCAAUAGCGUAGGCAGGUUGCUGGGACGGUUCUGACACUAAGGCACGAAAGCGUAGGGAGCAAACGGGAUUAGAUACCCCAGUAGUC
This 442-nucleotide ribosomal RNA is filed under the name uncultured bacterium. RNAcentral's name for it is "partial 16S ribosomal RNA". It matches the Rfam family "Bacterial small subunit ribosomal RNA", at positions 338 to 795 of the family's 1533-position model. The record is from RNAcentral.